UACUGGUAGGAAAAAGGUAGGGAGGAGAGAGCUCGUACAAUCUCCAGUUGGUACCUGAGGUUGCUCUUACCACAAGUUUGUGACAAGUAGUACUUAAAAAAGUUUUUUUGUUGUGUGUCAGAAUCUGGAUGCUUUAAAGAAACCAAACAAAGGAAUAUUAAGCAUACAAAAGUUCAAAGACAUCCAAGUGAGCGCAAAUGAGGGGUAAAUUACAAGAAUAGAAAAUAAUGAUACAAACUGAAAAAAAUGCCAUGCAUGCAAAUGAAAAUUCUUCCCAUACUUUGCAUGAUAACAUUCCACAAACUUAAUGAUAUUGCUAUUUGAUUCAUUUUGCAAAAACUAAAUGACCUUGUUCCAAUAUGCUAACAAAAGUAAUAAAUGUCUGUAAACACUUCAUUCUUAAUUUAUUUUGAAUAAUUUACAGGUUUACAAUAUGUUGCCUUAACAAAACUACUGCCAAUGACACUACAGCUCGUACUAAGCUGUACUAAAGUAACUAAUAGUCAUGUGUAACCUUAAGCAGAGAAAAGAAAAUGCAUUUGGAUAUUCUCGGCUACAUUCGUUAACAAAAACAAUGGUGUUUGGUGAAUUUUGAUGGUGUUUGAAAAUGUAUGUUGUUUUAACAAUUCGGAACCUGAUUAUUUUAUAAUAUAUAGUGCAAUUGAUGUAUAAAGGAUUAGUUUUAACAGUUUAGCUCUGGUAUUACGGACAAUGUUGAUGGCAGAGAUGAAGGACAUAUCUGUGUUGCUUUUUUCACAUCGUUGCAAGUGUCCCAUCAGGUUAUAAUUAGUUGUGGCAGACUGUGUGUGAGUUAUAAAUGUGUACUUGGCAAACAAUGUCUUCAAGGGAGAAAAAAACUGAUUGUAAAAGAUGUUAACAGUUUUGGUACUACUGGUUUCGAAUUAAGUAAUUUUAAAGACAAGUGUGUGGCCUCAAGGACGAGUGAAUAGGUGACAAAAGUGAUGCCCCCUGAACACUCUCAGGUAGUUUGUGUAAAGGGUCUCAAUUCAGAAGAAAAGGGUGAUUCGGAAGUUGAGGUGACCAAAAUGUUGGCGGAAUCAUUUGGCCAGAAAGAAGCAACUUCAAAGGCAGGGAGAAACAAGAGCUACAGCAGUGGUUGGCAGAGAAGUAACGGUCAGUCGAAGAGCUAAAUCAGCAGCAAGAGCUGAUUUCAUUUCCAGUAAAAAGCACAUAACACCAUUCAGACAGAUGCCAGACUUACAGAAAGUGGUGGCAAAAAACUUAUGUUUGGUUUAUCAUUGACUGACAGUGACUUUGAUUGGUCUAGUACAGAAGAUUCCACAGAAUAAACAGCAAAGGCUGGUGUGAAGUAGAAAUGAUACAUGUAUAUAGAAUGGUGCCAGCUCUUCUACUAAGAUGGGUGUGUAUGAGUUUAUAGAUAGAUUUAUUUCAUUAAGGAAUGCACAUACAUGGACAUUUAAAAUAAACAACAUGUAUAGUAAAUAACAUUAAAUAUACAUACAUGAUAUUAUCAAUAGCCAUGGCAGGCACCGAACCAAGGAUGACACUAAAAAGAGAAAACACUUAUUUCACUUGUGGUCCUUAUCAUUGACUGACAGUGACUUUAAUCCAUCUAGUACCGAAUAUUCCACAGUAUAAACAGCAAAGGGCGAUUCAAAAUCUAAGAUAAACAAAAAAAUCUUCCUCGCCAACCUUCACAAAGGAUGUGGCAGGAGAAGGCAACAACUACGUCGAUGAAGUGCCUGACAUUCCUCUUCAGCAGCCUGGAGAGGAUGGCAGGGAAAUGUUAUUAUGUGCGAGCCUGGUCCAGCAAAAAUCACACAGGACCAUCGCUUUGUGAUGUCCCUUCACAUGACUGGCUGAUGCUUUGCCUUAUCUAGCAGAACUGUCUGUUGCUAUGCAGACAAGGGAUGCAGUGUACACCACAGUGUCAAGCCUCUGGUAAAGGGGACAUGUGCUAUCCUGCAAGGACUGCUGGCAGAGCCUACCAAGCGGAUGUAGAUCAUGUGACCAUCUUGAACAGUCAAGAUCUACAGCCACUUCCUGAUGAACAUUGUGGUGAACCUAGAGGAUCGAUUCCCAGACCUUCCACUCCUCUAGAAGUUUGAGGUCUUCAACACCCGGAAGUUCCCUCAGGACCUGGUAGGAGAGUAUGUCAGGGAUGGUUUGAUGCAAGCUAAGCAGGCCAUAGUUGAUUGAAAAGAUUAUGUCCAGACGUAUGGGAACUGUACAAGAUGGGUUCGUGGAGCAGGGAUACCGUGAUCAUGACAGAGGUGGAUAAAACUUCCAUAGAUAAUAUGAAGGGGAAAACUGUGUGUGUUCAAGUAACUGUCCUGAUGUGAAUUAAUGGACCCAGCAGUAGCGGCAUUAGUGACAACAUGGACUCGAAUCUUCCCAGGGAUGAGAGGCCAGGACAGAAAUGGGCUGCAGCCAGUGGCAGGGGCCAGAAGUAAUAGCCAACAUUGUUCGAGGUCUUGUUGCUACAAAGGUAUCUGAUGUUGUGUGUUGGCAGAAAUGCAGAGUGGUACCACCGGUCACCUGAGCCACCUUUCCCCUCACAGACGAGAGACUCGUCUGUCAGUGACAGUAGUUUCCAGAGUAGCACUGAAUUGCAUGAAGCCUUACAAACUUAAGCAGCCAUCCACUGACAGGCUGGAGUGAUUUGGAUUUCCGAUGCCACAUUUACCUUUGUGCUCAGUGACAAGCUGGCGCUUAGCUGCCAUGUCUGAUGAUCCUCAUUGAGUUUAAUGGUGUUUCUACUGGCCUUAUCAUCAAGUCUCUGCAUAUGACUUCUUGCAGUAGCUGAGAUAUCCAUAUAUGUGAGAAGCACAUUUGCCUUUGUUAUUCCAGCAGGCAUUUCCCUAAACCCAGAACCAAGAAACGUGUUUAUUGUGGCUCCCUUGCCAUCUUUGCACUCGCUAUACUGGCGUAAGUUCCGGUGCACCAGGCAGGUCUUCCUCAUUUGGAAUCCACAUCUUCAGCUGAACUGCGGCAAUGAAUAAAAUCAGACUCCUUAGCAGCAUGUCCCAAGAAGCAGACAGGCAAUCCCAGGAACACCAGCCCAUUUUGUUGCUCACAAACAGUAUUGAUGAUAGUGACAUAGAAACAUCCGUAUGGUGGAGAAGGCUGAGGUAUUCUGAUUGUUUGUAAAGCAGUGCGGUAAGUGGCUCUUAGGGUAACAUUUAACUAUUAACUUAACAAUGAACGAGAAAUAUGUUUUAAAAAGAUAAACAGCGAUUAAUUAGGAAACAAAGUCGGGAAGAGUGUAUGAGAAAGCCAGAUGAACUUAACAUGUGUAUAUAGUUUCAUAUGUAAGAUAUGUAUUAAUUAAGUGGUCUUUUUUAAUUUAAUGACAUCUGGAUGUAAUUUUUAUUGGACAAGUUUCUUACAUUUAAAAUGUCUACUCUAUUCAUAUUAGGAUUGCUUGACCGUUUAAAACAUCGAGCUUAGUCCAUUUAUAUUUAUCUACUGUAACCAGACUUGGAGGAAGUUACUUGCUAGCCGAUUGCCUAUUCUACAACCAUGCAGUGGAUAGACAACAGUAAUGAUGUAGAUGAAGCUACACAUGCUCAUAACGACGUAAACAAUGUUACAGCUUACUAACAAGAAGACUCCUAUUCUGGCUAUUUUAUUUAGCAGAUUUAUUUCCAUUUUAGCUGCGAGGCAAGCAGAUCACAAGGUGUUUUGGGGGUGUGUUUCCAGCACCAUCCAGCAGCUGAUCUAGCAGUCAUCACCCACCAGUUGCUGCACAACAAGGUGUUAGCAGUCCAAGACUGGUCUGUGUUCUGGCAGCAGAUUCGGAUGAACAGCAAUGUAAAAGGUCACUUGCUAUUUUCACUGAUCAUAUAUUCUUUAAACUGAAACAUAUGUUUGUAUCAGUAAUAAAUGUCUCUCCAUCAGUCCAUUUGUCCAUUGGUCCAUCCUAGGGCAUCGGGACAAGUCUACUUUUUUCCAUUACUCAAUAUUUUUUGAGGUAUUGACUUCAAACUUCAUACACAUAUUGACUGAUUUGAGGUGAAACUCUGCAAUUGUCUGUUUUGUGUACAUCACAAUUCCUGUCUGCUUCAUAACAUUCAACCAGUUGAAGGAUUUUGAAAUUACUCCCAACAAAAGUUCACCAUAUUGAGACAUUGAGACAAUAUGCAGAGAGCAACCAGCUUGGCUCAAGGUCAAGGUCACACUUAGACAUCAAAGGUCAUAUUACUGCAUUUCAUGUCUGCUCUAUAAUCUCUUAAGCCUCUUUCAGGAUUGGAAAUAACUUGCCACAAAUGUUCACUAUAUUGAGAUGGUAUGCAGUGGGGGAAGACUUCAGUUUUUAAUAACAAAACAACUGUCUAGUUUUAUACUAUAUCAAGUUUUCUUUUCUCCAUAACUCCAUAUAUUUUUGAGAUAUUGACUUCAAGCUUCACACACAUGAAUGAGUUGAGGAAAAAUGUUGUGCAUAAGAAACAUGAUUUUGUGUAUGGGCUUUUUAUUACAACAGUCUAUAGCUUGUACAACAAAAGUGUUGACUAAACCAUUCACUCUGUAACAUCUUUCAAGUCUAGGCCAGACAUAGUAUUCUCAUUUCCCAACAAAUUCACUUUUUCACUUUAAAGUUAUAUUUGUGGAAGUAGAGUUAUGCUCUGACAAAAAUGUAGCCAUUUACAAGAACAUGUAUAUUAUCUGUGGUGAUAUUUGAAUGCUUCAGUGAUGAGCUCUAGGCUGAAAUUCCAUGUUGCUUGACACAGGCUGAACUUUCCCCAGUGAUAUCAGAAGAGGUCCAGCCCCAAACAAAGUGGCAUCCAGGGAGUGGAAGUUGGCCCAGUGAUAUCAGAAGAGGUACAGUCCCAAACAAAGUGGCAUCCAGGGAGUGGAAGUUGGCCCAGUGAUAUCAGAAGAGGUACAGCUCCAAACAAAGUGGCAUCCAGGGAGUGGAAGUUGGCCCAGUGAUAUCAGAAGAGGUCCAGCCCCAAACAAAGUGGCAUCCAGGGAGUGGAAGUUGGCCCAGUGAUAUCAGAAGAGGUCCAGCCCCUAACAAAGU
This is an RNA transcript of Mya arenaria, 5005 nucleotides long. RefSeq lists it as uncharacterized. The record is from RefSeq and is a predicted model, not a curated record. Lineage: Eukaryota; Metazoa; Mollusca; Bivalvia; Myida; Myidae. The transcript is spliced from 12 exons.